UACGGGGGGGGCAAGCGUUGUUCGGAAUUACUGGGCGUAAAGGGCUUGUAGGUGGCCAACUAAGUCAGACGUGAAAUCCCUCGGCUUAACCGGGGAACUGCGUCUGAUACUGGAUGGCUGGAGUGUGGGAGAGGGAUGCGGAAUUCCAGGUGUAGCGGUGAAAUGCGUAGAUAUCAGGAGGAACACCGGUGGCGAAGGCGGUUCUCUGGGCAUGAUCUGACGCUGAGGAGCGAAAGUGUGGGGAGCGAACAGG
RNAcentral lists this ribosomal RNA (253 nucleotides) under uncultured bacterium. RNAcentral's name for it is "partial 16S ribosomal RNA". It matches the Rfam family "Bacterial small subunit ribosomal RNA", at positions 524 to 776 of the family's 1533-position model. The record is from RNAcentral.